RNAcentral lists this microRNA precursor (205 nucleotides) under Oryza brachyantha (malo sina). RNAcentral describes it as "MIR812 microRNA precursor family". It matches the Rfam family "MIR812 microRNA precursor family". The record is from Rfam by way of RNAcentral. Lineage: Eukaryota; Viridiplantae; Streptophyta; Magnoliopsida; Poales; Poaceae.
AAUAAACGAAUUUCUGGGGUUUUCUAUAAAAUUUUUGACUCUUUGUCUUAUUUGAAUUUUUUUUACGAUUAAUGUUUUUAUUAUUAUCACAUGAUAAAACAUAACUCAUAUUUUACGUGUGACUAUUUUUUUAACUUUUUCAUAAAUUUUCAAAUAAGACGGAUGGUCAAACGCCAAACCUAGAAAACUCAGAAAUGCUCUUUUU